This is a long non-coding RNA of Limulus polyphemus (Atlantic horseshoe crab), 1432 nucleotides long. RefSeq lists it as uncharacterized. The transcript is spliced from 2 exons. NCBI's taxonomy places the organism in Eukaryota, Metazoa, Arthropoda, Merostomata, Xiphosura, Limulidae. The record is from RefSeq and is a predicted model, not a curated record.
CCUGGUGAUCAUUUUAAUAUAUGCAAAUUUUUUUUAGUUGUUAAGGCUUGCUUAGAUAAUCAAAAUGUUUUUUCAUCAUGGGUUUGGACUUGCUAUUUUUAAGACUGUCCUUCCCUUUGAUGUUAAUGUUUACUUAGCUGUUGAAAUAAUGUUUUUUACAUAUAUAUACACACACACACACACACACACACACACACACACACACACAUAUAUAUAUAUAUAUAUAUAGAGAGAGAGAGAGAGAGACAGAGAGUCUGUCAAGGAUACUUGUGUGUCAAAAAAUCAGUUUUUUCAUUUCAAAUUCAGGAGAAAAUUUUUAAUUUUCAAAAUUAAAUCAACAUAUUUUACAAAUUUUAGUAAAAAUGUUUCAUAGACAGUCAAACCAAUCUGACUAUAAGAACAGUAAAUUUUAUCAGCCGCAUUUUUAUUUACAAAACUGGUAAAUAAUAGAAUGCUAUUCUAUGCUUUCCAAAAUGUCAUUAGAAUAGAAUGUAUAUCUUAUACCAUUACCCUGACCACAUUUUGUUCAACAUAACCACAAUAAUACUAAUUUACAUCCUCUGGUCUCUUUUCUUUUGGAUCAUUCCAUAUAACUGCAUCCUUUGCUAUUCUAUUACAAUUCAAAGGUGUUUCACUUAGUUCUGUUCUGUCGAUUCCAAGUAGUCUUUUAUUUUUUGAAAACUUUCUCUCCAUAUCUGACUUACCAUGUGGAAGUAUUAAUGCUGCUUUGACUAACUUUUCAAGUAUAGGGAACUUGAGCUUGUUGUCAGUUGUUUUAAUAGAGAAUACUUACCUCUGGUAAUGGUCAACUCUUUCAAGAGACUUGUCACAUUUUAAUUGUUCUGUCUAAAACAGUUUCAAUUCAUUCAUUGCUGUAGCUACCUGAUUUGAGACUAUAUUAUGUGUAGCUCUGGCAAUAACACAGGAGUCGUUAACUGAACUUUAAAGGGUCUUUUACUAUGGAUGGAAACAUUUGAAUCUUUUGAUAAUUAUAUCUUUAAAGGAAUAUUGUGGUAGGUGCAUAACAACAGAUGAAAAAAAUGUUCUCCUGCCUGGGAUCUAAAGUUUUUGUUUCAAAGAAGAUAAAGCUUUGACUACAGAAAUAUAAUGAAAAGUUGCUCAUUGACUCCAUAAUGAAACUAAAUUUUAGAAAAGCUUCAUCUUGCUGAUAAUAAUUUAAGAAAUGAAUGAAGAUCAAUGGCAAACUUUUGAACAGCAUUACAAUAAUCUUUAGCAGCUUUUCCAAAUGAAUUGUGAAUUGGAAGAACAGCAUUACAAUAAUCUUUAGUAGCUUUUCCAAAUGAAUUGUGAAUUGGAAAUGCCAGUGGAGGAUCAAACAAAUAUAGAAAGACAGGGAAAUUGGUAGAGAGAUGCGAUUGACAGGGAUAUAUUAAAGGUUGAUGCCACUAAUCUAUGGAGAAGAAAGACUCAA